UGAAGUAGAAAAUAAGGAAUAUGGGGUUUGGGGUUUCGGAUUCUAGGGAUUUAAACAAAACACUCGUUAAUUCCACGUAAGCACAAAUCGUCGUAAAGGACUCGUAGUUCAACGAGGAAAUAACGACGAAAUAUAAAAAUAAAGAACGCGGGACUCGUUAAUUCCACGUAGGAUGAAAUCGUCGUAAAUACCACGUAGGAUGAAAUCGUCGUAAAUAUCACGUAAGCCAACGAGGAAAUAACGACGAAACUUAAAAAUAAAGAUGGGGUUUGGAAUAUAUGAAGUAGAAAAUAAGGAUUUCGGGUUUGGGGUUUGGGGUUUCGGGUUUCGGGUUUGGGGUUUGGGGUUUGGGGUUUCGGGUUUAGGGUUUGGGGUUUGAGGUUUGGGGUUUAGGGUUUGGGGUUUCGGGUUUGGGGUUUCGGGUUUGGGGUUUCGGGUUUGGGGUUUCGGAUUUUAGGGAUUUAAACAAAACACUCGUUAAUUCCACGUAGGAUGAAAUCGUCGUAAACACCACGUAAAAGGAUUUAAACAAAACACUCGUUAAUUCCACGUAAGUGGAAAUCGUCGUAAACACCACGUAAAAUGAUUUAAACAUAACACUCGUUAAUUCCACGUAAGCAGAAAUCGUCGUA
RNAcentral lists this long non-coding RNA (632 nucleotides) under Brassica napus (rape). RNAcentral describes it as "long non-coding RNA (BNAP_LNC015869)". Lineage: Eukaryota; Viridiplantae; Streptophyta; Magnoliopsida; Brassicales; Brassicaceae. The record is from RNAcentral.